Molecule: non-coding RNA, 111 nt
Organism: Acanthosepion pharaonis
Lineage: Eukaryota; Metazoa; Mollusca; Cephalopoda; Sepiida; Sepiidae
Source: the annotation of a GenBank genome assembly
UAUGGCCAUACCAUGUUGAAACACUGGUUCUGAUCUGAUCACCAAAGUUAAGCAACAUUGAACCUGGUCAGUACCUAGAUGGGUGACCACUUGGGAAUAUCAAGUUCUGUA